RNAcentral lists this ribosomal RNA (292 nucleotides) under uncultured bacterium. Its description in RNAcentral is "partial 16S ribosomal RNA". The record is from RNAcentral.
GGACUACCCGGGUUUCUAAUCCUGUUUGCUCCCCACGCUUUCGCGUCUCAGCGUCAGUUGGUGUCCAGGAAGCCGCCUUCGCCACUGGUGUUCCUCCUGAUAUCUACGAAUUUCACCUCUACACCAGGAAUUCCACUUCCCUCUCCACCACUCAAGACUGGUAGUUUCAGGUGCAGUUCCUGGGUUGAGCCCAGGGAUUUCACAUCUGACACACCAGUCCACCUACACGCGCUUUACGCCCAGUAAUUCCGAGCAACGUUUGCACCCUCUGUCUUACCGCGGCUGCUGGCAC